UUUUUGUGACUAGAGUACAGGCUGAAGGACCUGCAUCAAAAUUAUUACAGCCAGGAGAUAAAAUUAUUCAGGCUAAUGGAUAUAGCUUCAUCAGUAUUGAUCAUGGGCAAGCAGUAUCUUUGCUAAAGACUUUUCAGAACACAGUGGAACUUACUAUUGUUCGAGAGCUUUCUUAAACACUGUGGAGAAAGAGGAAAUUCUGUGUAAUUUUUGAAGGACUUGUGGAAAACUUAAUAUUUUGACUAUUUUUGUAUGCAAAACUUUUAAAACUAUGUACAGUAAUAAAAUAAUGAAUUUGUGGUUAUGGGGAAAAACCACUGUAAAGAAUAUAAAUGAAGCAGUUAUGGAAAUGCAUAUGGUGAUUAGAGCUAAAUUGUUUUAAAACAGUGUAGCAAUCAAGGAUCACUCCUCCAAGAACAAACCUGUGGUGUAUUUUGUACAGAUGGUAGGUUUAUUUUGUGGGUAAUUCAUAUACAUUAAAUAACUUUGUGUACAAGGAGCCUCCGUUGUAGCCAGUGGACAGAUGGCAGGGCUUUCUGUCCUAUAGCAAUUUUGUUGCCUUUAAUUUUUCAUUUAUUUUUAGAAUCUGUGUUGAAACCACUUCAGUAGAUAUUGGUAAGAAAUUUUAAAAGUUGGCUUUGCAAUGUGAGUAUUGUAUAGAUGAAUUGCUAGACUGAAAGUGGACUGAUUGGAUUAAA
This is a long non-coding RNA of Thamnophis elegans (Western terrestrial garter snake), 698 nucleotides long. RefSeq lists it as uncharacterized. The record is from RefSeq and is a predicted model, not a curated record. NCBI's taxonomy places the organism in Eukaryota, Metazoa, Chordata, Lepidosauria, Squamata, Natricidae. The transcript has 2 exons.